AUCUUCAGGGCAGGGAGAGUUUCCCGACCGGCGGUAAAGUCCGCGAGCCGAAAGGCAUGAACCGGUGUGAUUCCGGUACCGACAGUAUAGUCUGGAUGGUAGAAGAUG
This 108-nucleotide non-coding RNA is filed under the name human gut metagenome. RNAcentral's name for it is "FMN riboswitch (RFN element)". It matches the Rfam family "FMN riboswitch aptamer (RFN element)". From Rfam's summary of the family: The RFN element is a highly conserved domain that is found frequently in the 5'-untranslated regions of prokaryotic mRNAs that encode for flavin mononucleotide (FMN) biosynthesis and transport proteins. This element is a metabolite-dependent riboswitch that directly binds FMN in the absence of proteins. In Bacillus subtilis, the riboswitch most likely controls gene expression by causing premature transcription termination within the 5' untranslated region of the ribDEAHT operon and precluding access to the ribosome-binding site of ypaA mRNA. The record is from RNAcentral.